RNAcentral lists this ribosomal RNA (376 nucleotides) under uncultured organism. RNAcentral describes it as "partial 16S ribosomal RNA". It matches the Rfam family "Bacterial small subunit ribosomal RNA", at positions 527 to 896 of the family's 1533-position model. The record is from RNAcentral.
GUAGGUGGCAAGCGUUGUCCGGAAUUAUUGGGCGUAAAGCGCGCGCAGGCGGUCCUUUAAGUCUUAUGUGAAAGCCCACGGCUCAACCGUGGAGGGUCAUUGGAAACUGGGGGACUUGAGUACAGAAGAGGAAAGCGGAAUUCCAAGUGUAGCGGUGAAAUGCGUAGAGAUUUGGAGGAACACCAGUGGCGAAGGCGGCUUUCUGGUCUGUAACUGACGCUGAGGCGCGAAAGCGUGGGGAGCAAACAGGAUUAGAUACCCUGGUAGUCCACGCCGUAAACGAUGAGUGCUAAGUGUUAGGGGGUUUUCCCGCCCCCCUUAGUGCUGCAGCUAACGCAUUAAGCACUCCGCCUGGGGGAGUACGGCCGCAAGGCUG